Molecule: ribosomal RNA, 410 nt
Filed under: uncultured bacterium
Lineage: Bacteria
Description: bacterial SSU rRNA
Rfam family: Bacterial small subunit ribosomal RNA
Source: RNAcentral
UCGAGAAUCAUUCACAAUGGGGGAAACCCUGAUGGUGCGACGCCGCGUGGGGGAAGAAGGUCUUCGGGUCGUAAACCCCUGUCAUGUGGGAGCGAGCAGCGAUGUAGAUAGUACCACAAGAGGAAGCCCCGGCUAACUACGUGCCAGCAGCCGCGGUAAUACGUAGGGGGCAAGCGUUGUCCGGAAUUACUGGGCGUAAAGAGCACGUAGGCGGUAACCUAAGUCAGAUGUGAAAGACCAGGGCUUAACUCUGGGGUUGCAUACGAAACUGGGUAACUAGAGUGCAGGAGAGGAAAGUGGAAUUCCUAGUGUAGCGGUGAAAUGCGUAGAUAUUAGGAGGAACACCAGUGGCGAAGGCGGCUUUUUGGACUGUAACUGACGCUGAGGUGCGAAAGCCAGGGGAGCGAACG